UUUACUCGGUUUUGGGUUCGGUUGGGCUCCGUGUUUCGAGACGUUGGUCUUCGGUUUUGGCUUGGCUCCUUCGUCGACGUGUUGUUUGGCGUCUGACUCUGUGGCAGCGUUCUCUUGCUCUCUUACCGCCGGUAGAGGAGGUGGAGGAUGAAGAGGAGCGUCGGCGUCGACGGCCGCAGGCCUCCGUCGUCGUUGCCGGCCGUCGGCGCCUCCGCAGCCCACCCGUCGACGCAGUACGAGCUCCGCCGGCGACGGAGACCAUCACCACCGCCGCCGCGCCACCACCCCUCCUGCUCCUCGGACUGCCUCCUCCUGGACCUCCUCGAGUUCCCGACGGAGCUAGAGCCGAAGCCGAAGAGGAUGCUGCUCUAGGGCCCGGAGACGCCCUGCGAGGGGCCAAACCUCGAGACGAUGAGGUACUGCGCCGCCAAGGAGCUGCUCGUCUCCCGCCACCAGCCCGUCGACCUCGGGCGACGCCGCCGCCGCCGCGGGUAGGGCCUGACCUUCUAGAGGCCGGGACCACUAUUAGGUCUCCUUCACUUUCGAUCCGAGUUCAUAACCCGAGUCUGUCACCGUACGUGCCAGUUUGAUACGUCGACUACCUCCAACCAUCACACGACCAAGAGAGAAUUGUAUAUACGAUGAUGUUCGACUUAACCUCCACCGACUUCAACUUCUUGCUACGAAUAUACCAUAACCCGAACCACCCGUUCACGUCUCCUCCACGAAGACGAAGCACAAUAGCUACGCUGUCUUGACUGGUGACGAAAACGUUUUGAAACCUCCCCCUCUCCUAACGACUGUUGUACCUUGACUCUUUAGCGCUCCGCCAGGCGUCAGCUCGAAAAGACUUUCGUAGUCUUCGAGCGGUCAGGAGAACCCACAGAACAGAGAUGUACCGCGUCGCAAACGUUCACGGACUCUGGAGACGAAUAAAGACGGGAAGGAACAUCACGAGUCCACGAGGCCAACGUGGCAGGACGUGGCCGAACUCGAAAAGUUUAGGAACCCACCUAAACAAGUUAAUAUUGAAACAAAAUAACGAGGAAAGUCGAAUCUAAACGAAACCUCGUCAUCUGGAACAUAUCCUGAACGUACAUGUAUAGACAACUAAGACGACAUGACGUGAGCCUCCCACGUCUUUGUCAAAGACUUUAUUUAAAGACGCAGGUCGGAUUGUCGUUUGACCCCGACGACUUUAACACUUACAAUAUACCAC
This 1219-nucleotide ribosomal RNA is filed under the name Triticum aestivum (bread wheat). RNAcentral's name for it is "partial small subunit ribosomal RNA". Lineage: Eukaryota; Viridiplantae; Streptophyta; Magnoliopsida; Poales; Poaceae. The record is from RNAcentral.